AAACAUGGUAACAAUUAUUCUCUUACUGGAAAAUAGACAUUGUGCUAUUCAAACAGGAGUUCACACAAGAAUAUGUGACUUUAUUUAUUAAUGUAGGCUUUUUCUUUCAUU
Thalassophryne amazonica is the source of this 111-nucleotide long non-coding RNA. RefSeq lists it as uncharacterized. The record is from RefSeq and is a predicted model, not a curated record. Lineage: Eukaryota; Metazoa; Chordata; Actinopteri; Batrachoidiformes; Batrachoididae. The transcript is spliced from 3 exons.